RNAcentral lists this ribosomal RNA (492 nucleotides) under uncultured bacterium. Its description in RNAcentral is "partial 16S ribosomal RNA". It matches the Rfam family "Bacterial small subunit ribosomal RNA", at positions 29 to 507 of the family's 1533-position model. The record is from RNAcentral.
AGUGAACGCUGGCGGUAGGCCUAACACACGCAAGUCGAACGGCAGCACAGUAAGAGCUUGCUCUUACGGGUGGCGAGUGGCGGACGGGUGAGGAAUACAUCGGAUUCUACUUUUUCGUGGGGGAUAACGUAGGGAAACUUACGCUAAUACCGCAUACGACCUACGGGUGAAAGCAGGGGAUCUUCGGACCUUGCGCGUUUGAAUGAGCCGAUGUCGGAUUAGCUAGUUGGCGGGGUAAAGGCCCACUAAGGCGACGAUCCGUAGCUGGUCUGAGAGGAUGAUCAGCCACACUGGAACUGAGACACGGUCCAGACUCCUACGGGAGGCAGCAGUGGGGAAUAUUGGGCAAUGGGCGCAAGCCUGAUCCAGCCAUACCGCGUGAGUGAAGAAGGCCUUCGGGUUGUAAAGCCCUUUUGUUGGGAAAGAAAAGCAGCAGGUUAAUACCCCGCUGUUCUGACGGUACCCAAAGAAUAAGCACCGGCUAACUUCGUG